RNAcentral lists this long non-coding RNA (275 nucleotides) under Marmota monax (woodchuck). Lineage: Eukaryota; Metazoa; Chordata; Mammalia; Rodentia; Sciuridae. The record is from RNAcentral.
AAAAUGUGGCAUUUAUACACAAUGGAGUAUUACUCUGCAUUAAAAAAUGACAAAAUCAUGGAAUUUGCAGGGAAAUGGAUGGCAUUAGAGCAGAUUAUGCUAAGUGAAGCUAGCCAAUCCCUAAAAAACAAACGCCAAAUGUCUUCUUUGAUAUAAGGAGAGUAACUAAGAACAGAGUAGGGAGGAAGAGCAUGAGAAGAAGAUUAACAUUAAACAAGGACGAGAGGUGGGAGGGAAAGGGAGAGAGAAGGGAAAUUGCAUGGAAAUGGAAGGAG